This 429-nucleotide ribosomal RNA is filed under the name Acidobacteriota bacterium. RNAcentral's name for it is "Acidobacteria bacterium partial 16S ribosomal RNA". It matches the Rfam family "Bacterial small subunit ribosomal RNA", at positions 355 to 776 of the family's 1533-position model. The record is from RNAcentral. Lineage: Bacteria; Pseudomonadati; Acidobacteriota. RNAcentral also lists the same sequence under 2 other names.
UAGGGAAUCUUCGGCAAUGGACGAAAGUCUGACCGAGCAACGCCGCGUGAGUGAAGAAGGUUUUCGGAUCGUAAAACUCUGUUGUUAGAGAAGAACAAGGACGUUAGUAACUGAACGUCCCCUGACGGUAUCUAACCAGAAAGCCACGGCUAACUACGUGCCAGCAGCCGCGGUAAUACGUAGGUGGCAAGCGUUGUCCGGAUUUAUUGGGCGUAAAGCGAGCGCAGGCGGUUUCUUAAGUCUGAUGUGAAAGCCCCCGGCUCAACCGGGGAGGGUCAUUGGAAACUGGGGGACUUGAGUGCAGAAGAGGAGAGUGGAAUUCCAUGUGUAGCGGUGAAAUGCGUAGAUAUAUGGAGGAACACCAGUGGCGAAGGCGGCUCUCUGGUCUGUAACUGACGCUGAGGCUCGAAAGCGUGGGGAGCAAACAGG